UGGCGCAUGCGCAUGGGGCUAGUCCCGAAUGACAACUGCACCACAUAACGGACAAACAGUCGGCACAGGAGCCGAUGCUAACGCAGAAAGACUUAAGUCUCAGGUUAAGAACUCGUCUUACUCGGAGAACGUUAUGAGGUAGAUAGUUAAAAUUUGAAAUAAACCAGCUUUGGAUGGAACAGACAGGCGCUGCCACCGUGAAAAUGGACCAGGAGUUUGAAGACAUGGACUCCAAAGGCCGGUGGCAGAAGCUUUACUCAGAAAUCAGGAAUCAAUCCCACGAGUGCUCUUACAAAGUGGCAAAGUAUCCAGAAAAUCGCAACCGAAACAGAUACAGAGAUGUCAGUCCAUUUGAUCACAGUCGGGUCAAGCUGGAGAAUGCAGAAAACGACUACAUCAACGCCAGUCUGGUGGUGAUGGAAGACGCCCAAAGAAGUUACAUUUUAACACAGGGCCCCCUCAAGAACACUUGCGGCCACUUUUGGCUCAUGAUCUGGGAGCAGAAGACGAAGGCGGUCAUCAUGCUCAACAGGGUCAUAGAGAAAGGAUCAGAAAAGUGUGCCCAGUACUGGCCGACGGCAGAGGAGAGAGAGAUGGCCUUCAGAGACACGCGCUUUAUGGUCACACUGUUGUCAGAAGACACCAAGUCUUACUACACCACCAGAGUAUUGCAGCUGCAGAAUAUUAAUACGGGCGAGAAGAGAGAGAUCCAUCACUUUCACUACACCACGUGGCCUGAUUUCGGUGUCCCUGAAUCCCCGGCAUCCUUCCUGAACUUCCUCUUUAAAGUGCGGGAAUCUGGAGCGUUAGGGUUGGACCACGGACCGGCAGUGGUGCACUGCAGUGCUGGAAUUGGACGCUCGGGGACAUUCUCAUUAGUAGACACAUGCCUUGUUCUUAUGGACAAACGGAAAGAUCCGUUGUCAGUGGACAUCAAGAACAUCCUUUUAAAGAUGAGGAAGUACCGCAUGGGUCUGAUCCAGACUCCCGAACAGCUGCGCUUCUCCUACAUGGCUGUCCUUGAAGGAGCAAAGUUCAUCAUGGGCGACUCUUCUGUGCAGAACCAAUGGCGUGUGUUGUCUGAGGAAGAUCAGGAGCCGUCCUCAGAGUCUCCGCCCUCCUCCGAGCCUCAGGCCCGGUGUCCACCGGAGCGACACAAUGGGACCCAGAGAGGAGGUCAGCAGGAGGAGGCAGAGGACUACAGACAGGACAGCAGAGUUCCUACUCAGUCUUCCUGCAAGGAACAGGAGCUGGAUGGCAGCACAACACACAAACGACGCAGAGAAGAUAACAUGUCCAAAUCUGUCAACACCAAAACACCCCAAGGCAAGUCCAGGUCAACCGACUCGGACAGGAAGAGGAAAAGUUUGGGGUGUAUUUGCUGCACAUGACGAGACAUUUCCUGUCCGGUGGGGGGCAGCCUGUCUUUACUCCCCUCCGAGACAGAAACGACCACGAGGAGAACGUUUAGAGGAGGAACUUUAUCCACAGCUUGUGAAAACGAUCAGCCACUUUUGUACCUGGAGGAUGAAAACCAGCGACUGCUAACCAGCUCCACCUGAGUUCGGCUCCGGCAGCGAAGCCAGCCUCGGCAGGGAACUCCAGCUCUCCACCCCGCUAUCCAAACCUCCGUGCUCUUCCUCCUCUUCUUUUUUUUACGUUCGUCAUGGUUUUAGUCCGGCCAAGUCCCAUGUUUUCAGCAACACUCGCCUCAUAACUCUUCAUGUCUUUAGCUUCAGCGUUUUCCCCCAAAUCCUCUCUGAAAUGUUUACAGCAGACACUUUGACAUUCACACAGGAGCUUUAAACCCCCUCCUCAGACCUCACCUCCGCGUUUUGCUUUUAUUGUUUUCCUCUCAUUCUGACCUCUCUUAUAAGACUGAACAGUAGGGGGGGUACGCAUUGCCAAUUUGUAAUGCUGUUCAUAUGUGUAUUUUUAGAAAAAAAAAAAAAGAAAAUUUUUUCAGAGGCGAACCCAAGAGGUACUAUUUUUUAUAAAAAAUCUACUUGAAGUUUUUAAAGGUGACGUGGGGUUUGGGAUAAGACAAGCACUGCCUCCUCCCCCAAGUAAUAGUGGCAUGAUAUUUCAAUGAUGUACAUAGUGCUCUGUUGGUUUUUUAAAGAUGUGUAUUAAAGAUAUUUUUGCUUGUAAAGAGAAAAAUAAAGAGCUUAUGUUACAGAUCUUAAUGCUGCAGAAAACUCAUGACUUGUUCUCCUUUUGAAAUUAAGUUGUCUUAAGUUUAUUUAGAGUGUAAGCUCAAAAUAAAACUGGUAUUUUGUUUACCUACA
Xiphophorus hellerii (green swordtail) is the source of this 2288-nucleotide RNA transcript. It is a transcript of the gene named protein tyrosine phosphatase non-receptor type 2b, with no coding region annotated. Lineage: Eukaryota; Metazoa; Chordata; Actinopteri; Cyprinodontiformes; Poeciliidae. The record is from RefSeq and is a predicted model, not a curated record. The transcript has 11 exons.